This 323-nucleotide long non-coding RNA is filed under the name Equus asinus (donkey). RNAcentral describes it as "lncRNA (ENSEASG00005035963.1)". The record is from RNAcentral. Lineage: Eukaryota; Metazoa; Chordata; Mammalia; Perissodactyla; Equidae.
GUGGCAGAGCAAGAGAUACCUGGGGGCUCCCUGGCUUUGGCUGGUCCAGAAUAUCCUGUAUCCACCAACACUGAUGUCACUGCUGGCAGUGCAGUCUCAGGUUGGAAAUAAUGUCAGGGACACUGGCUUGACAGCCUGGUCACUGUGGGUCCACAAACAUCCAUGCGCCACACCCCGUGCUCUGCCCCCACUUAUCCACAGGCCAUUCCUGGGUGCACAGUAUGGACGGGCCGCAGUCUGCUUCUCCAUCCGCCUGUUCAUGAGCGUUUGGGUCUUUUACACUUUGGGCUAUUUAUACAUAAAGCCGUUAUUUAUGUUAGAAG